CUUCGGUUGGCUCCUUCUCUGCAGGAUUCCUGGUUUUGCGCUAGGUGAAAUUUUGGGCAACAGCAGGUCUGUGAUGCUCCUCAAUGCUCUGGGCGACACGCGCACUACAAUGUCAGUGAGAACAAGAAGACCUACGUUUCGUAGGACCCGCCUGACCACAAGGGCGGGGAAACACCGGAAUCACAUCGACCCAAUUGGGACCGAGUAUUGCAAUUAUUGGUCGCGUAACGAGGAAUAUCUCGUAGGCGUAGCUCA
Molecule: ribosomal RNA, 255 nt
Filed under: Heterosigma akashiwo
Lineage: Eukaryota; Raphidophyceae; Chattonellales; Chattonellaceae
Description: partial Eukaryotic small subunit ribosomal RNA
Rfam family: Eukaryotic small subunit ribosomal RNA
Source: RNAcentral